UGGGUAGCUAUGUAUGGACGGGAUAAGUGCUGAAAGCAUCUAAGCAUGAAGCCCCCCUCAAGAUGAGAUUUCCCAACUUCGGUUAUAAGAUCCCUCGAAGAUGACGAGGUUAAUAGGUUCGAGGUGGAAGCGUGGUGACACGUGGAGCUGACGAAUACUAAUCGAUCGAAGACUUAAUCAAUUUUUUAAA
This 190-nucleotide ribosomal RNA is filed under the name Staphylococcus epidermidis. RNAcentral's name for it is "partial 23S ribosomal RNA". It matches the Rfam family "Bacterial large subunit ribosomal RNA", at positions 2742 to 2925 of the family's 2925-position model. The record is from RNAcentral. Lineage: Bacteria; Bacillati; Bacillota; Bacilli; Caryophanales; Staphylococcaceae.